Molecule: ribosomal RNA, 467 nt
Filed under: uncultured bacterium
Lineage: Bacteria
Description: partial 16S ribosomal RNA
Rfam family: Bacterial small subunit ribosomal RNA
Source: RNAcentral
GACGAACGCUGGCGGCGUGCUUAACACAUGCAAGUCGAACGGAAAGGCCUCUUUCGGGGGGUACUCGAGUGGCGAACGGGUGAGUAACACGUGAGUAACCUGCCCUUGACUUUGGGAUAACUUCAGGAAACUGGGGCUAAUACCGGACAGGAGCUCCUGCUGCAUGGGGGGGGUUGGAAAGUUUCGGCGGUUGGGGAUGGACUCGCGGCUUAUCAGCUUGUUGGUGGGGGAGUGGCUUACCCAGGCUUUGACGGGUAGCCGGCCUGAGUGGGUGACCGGCCACAGUGGGACUGGGAUUCGGCCCAGGCUCCUACUGGAGGCAGCAGCGGCGGAGAUUGUUCUAUGGGUGGGAGCCUGAUGCAGCAACGCCGUGUGCGGGAUGACGGUCUUCGGGUUGGAAUCCGCUUUCGCUCAUGACGAAGCUUUGUGUGACGGUAGUGGGUAAAGAAGCACCGGCUAACUACGUG